RNAcentral lists this transfer RNA (767 nucleotides) under uncultured bacterium. RNAcentral describes it as "partial 16S-23S ribosomal RNA intergenic spacer". The stretch from base 75 to 147 matches the Rfam family "tRNA". The record is from RNAcentral.
ACGUUGGACCUUUUUAGCGUAGUGCUCACACAGAUUGUUUUGUUAUUGAAUGAUAAAGAACGACCAAGACUAUUGGGGCUAUAGCUCAGCUGGGAGAGCGCCUGAUUUGCAUUCAGGAGGUCAGCAGUUCGAUCCUGCUUAGCUCCACCACAGGCUUGUAGCUCAGCUGGUUAGAGCGCACCCCUGAUAAGGGUGAGGUCGGCAAUUCAAGUCUGCCCAAGCCUACCAAUUUCUUCCUUAUGCUUCGUUAUCGCAACGCUCAUGUGCUACUUGCACACUUCGCGUCACGAUGCCUCGCCUAAGAAAGAAAUACACUAAAAUGUCUUGUUGUUAUGAAGUGUUAAUGAAUGUGUUUUACGAAAUUCAUUGAUUAGUACUUCGGUGCUAAAAGUUCUUUAACAAUUUGGAAAGCUGAUAUUAAUAGUAAUCAAUCUGAAAGAGUAACUGAUGAUGAUUCUUAAUUUAUUAAGAGUCUCUCAAUAGCUACUCUAUCUGACACCGGUACAACUAGUUUGUACCAAUUUGAUUAGUUGUCAUCAUACGACGGUCUACUCCGGUAGACGCCCAACCUUGGACAAAAAGGCGAGGCAACGCGAGUUAUUUUCUGAAAGGUGGAAAGUCAUGUCCCACCAAUUAAGGAAAUAGCGAGUAUUAGGUUUCUCAUCGAGUCAAGUGACGAACGAAGGAAGGCACAUACAUUAAGUAUGUAACUGACUGAGUAAGGAAACGCGACGAAGAGGAGGAAGCUAAGACGAAGCUAUUUGGGG